GAGUUUGAUCUUGGCUCAGGACGAACGCUGGCGGCGUGCCUAAUACAUGCAAGUCGAGCGGAUCUUCAUUAGCUUGCUUUUGAAGAUCAGCGGCGGACGGGUGAGUAACACGUGGGCAACCUGCCUGUAAGACUGGGAUAACUUCGGGAAACCGGAGCUAAUACCGGAUAAUCCUUUUCCUCUCAUGAGGAAAAGCUGAAAGACGGUUUCGGCUGUCACUUACAGAUGGGCCCGCGGCGCAUUAGCUAGUUGGUGAGGUAACGGCUCACCAAGGCGACGAUGCGUAGCCGACCUGAGAGGGUGAUCGGCCACACUGGGACUGAGACACGGCCCAGACUCCUACGGGAGGCAGCAGUAGGGAAUCUUCCGCAAUGGACGAAAGUCUGACGGAGCAACGCCGCGUGAGCGAUGAAGGCC
Molecule: ribosomal RNA, 417 nt
Filed under: uncultured microorganism
Description: bacterial SSU rRNA
Rfam family: Bacterial small subunit ribosomal RNA
Source: RNAcentral